GCUAGCGUAGCUUAACUAAAGCAUGACACUGAAGAUGUUAAGAUGAACCCUAGAAAGUUCCGCAGGCA
Molecule: transfer RNA, 68 nt
Filed under: Etheostoma simoterum simoterum
Lineage: Eukaryota; Metazoa; Chordata; Actinopteri; Perciformes; Percidae
Description: tRNA-Phe
Rfam family: tRNA
About the family: Transfer RNA (tRNA) molecules are approximately 80 nucleotides in length. Their secondary structure includes four short double-helical elements and three loops (D, anti-codon, and T loops). Further hydrogen bonds mediate the characteristic L-shaped molecular structure. tRNAs have two regions of fundamental functional importance: the anti-codon, which is responsible for specific mRNA codon recognition, and the 3' end, to which the tRNAs corresponding amino acid is attached (by aminoacyl-tRNA synthetases). tRNAs cope with the degeneracy of the genetic code in two manners: having more than one tRNA (with a specific anti-codon) for a particular amino acid; and 'wobble' base-pairing, i.e. permitting non-standard base-pairing at the 3rd anti-codon position.
Source: RNAcentral